AAUCCGUGUUGAGGCCAGUAUCGAAUCAAAUUUUUAUAUUUUCCCAUGUUUCAUAGAGUGAUUCAAAAUCAUUUUGCUUGAAUUGACCAAUCUCACUCCUGAGUUG
This is a small nucleolar RNA of Carya illinoinensis, 106 nucleotides long. NCBI's taxonomy places the organism in Eukaryota, Viridiplantae, Streptophyta, Magnoliopsida, Fagales, Juglandaceae. The record is from RefSeq and is a predicted model, not a curated record.